UCUUAAAAAUAUAAUUUUAAGUCCAAUCUGCUCACUGAUAUUUUAAAGAGCCGCAGUAUUUUGACUGUGCAAAGGUAGCAUAAUCAAUAGUUUUUUAAUUGAGAACUUGUAUGAAUGAUUAGACAAAAUUUAAUUUUCUUUAUUUUUAUUUUAUGAAUUUAAUAUUUGAGUGAAAAAUCUUAAAUUUUAUUAAAAGACGAGAAGACCUUAUAGAUUUUUAUUAAUUUUAAUUAUAUAAUUAUUAUUUAUAUUUAAAUUUAAUUUAAUUGGGGUGAUUUUGUAAUAUAAUAAACUUAAUAAAAUAAUACCAUGAAUAAUUGAAAUUUUUGAUCUAAAGGUUUUAAAAAUUAGAAUAAAUUACCUUAGGGAUAACAGCGUAAUUUUUUUUGAGAGUUCAUAUUUAUAAAAAAGUUUGCGACCUCGAUGUUGAAUUAAGAUUAAUUAUUGGGGAAGAAUAUAAUAUUAUUAGNCUGUUCGACUAUUAAAUUC
This 489-nucleotide ribosomal RNA is filed under the name Cladiopsocus sp. 3.2.2004.14. RNAcentral describes it as "partial 16S ribosomal RNA". Lineage: Eukaryota; Metazoa; Arthropoda; Insecta; Psocodea; Cladiopsocidae. The record is from RNAcentral.